GGUAGGACUACCCGCUGAACUUAAGCAUAUCAAUAAGCGGAGGAAAAGAAACUAACAAGGAUUCCCCUAGUAACUGCGAGUGAAGCGGGAAAAGCUCAAAUUUAAAAUCUGGCGGCUUUUUUGGCCGUCCGAGUUGUAAUCUA
Molecule: ribosomal RNA, 143 nt
Filed under: uncultured Cortinarius
Lineage: Eukaryota; Fungi; Basidiomycota; Agaricomycetes; Agaricales; Cortinariaceae
Description: partial 28S ribosomal RNA
Rfam family: Eukaryotic large subunit ribosomal RNA
Source: RNAcentral